UUAAUGAGUUGUAUAUCUUUUUUUUAGUACAUGUUUACAGUACAUAAUGAUUACAUUCAACAUGAGUUGGUACAUGCCUAUUACACAUGUUAAUAAUCAGUUGUAUUUCUGUACAGUAAAAAAUGAACAAUCCAUGAAGGAAAUUAGGAAGAUAAUUCCAUGCACAAUCACAUCAAAAACACGAAAUACUUAAGAAUUAACCAAGGAAGUGAAAGAAUUACUUAAGGAAAACUAACGCAAUCUUUAUCAAAAUCCCAGUGGUGUUUUCCCUUUAUAUUUUUUAUUUAAUUUCAACAUUUCUUUUUUGACACUUAAUAUUUGUGCAUAUUUUAUAACAAUUCAAUACAUGUAUGUAAUAUGUAAUGAUCAAUCAGGGUAACUAGAAUUUCCAGCUUAUAUAUUUAUUACAGUAAAAGCCUUGUUUGUGAGAAUACUUCAUUCUGCUCAUAAUCCAGAGCAAUUGUUUAUCAAAGCAGUGGGAAAGAAAAGAACCAGUUGUGAUCAUGUGACAUUUGGCAUGAUGUACUGAUCAUAUUGCAAGACACUGCUCAUUUAUCAAGUUAAAAUUUCUUAGAAAUGUGUACUCACCUUGCAGAACACUUGCAGACCAAGUUACUCACAAUCUAAGGUUUAACUGUAUUUCUGUGUUGGGAUCCUUCGGAUACUUCUAGUUAUCUUGACAUAGAUAAUAAAUUGUAGAAAACAGUUACCCUGCUAUGCUAUAGAACACCAGAAGUAAUUCCUCCCAUAUGUAAUAUAUUUUGAUAUCCAUUACCUAACCUCUGGUCAUACUUCCUAUUCUGUUUAGGCUCCGGUGACCACUAUUCUACUCUUUUAUUCUAUGAGAUCAAUUUUUUAGCUUUUAUAAAUGAGUGAGAACAUGUAGCAUUUGUCUUCCUUUGCUUGGCUUAUUUCAGUUACGAAAAUGUCUGGUACUAUCCAUGUUGCCUCAAAUGGCAGAAUUUCAUUCUUUAUGCCUAAACAGUUUUCCAUUGUAUAUAUGUACCACAUUAUUGUUAUCCAGCCAUCAGCUGAUGGGCACGAUGAUCACUUCUAUAUCUUGGCUAUUGUGAAGAAUGCUGAGAUAAGCAUGGGAGUCAGGUAUCUCUUUGAUCUAAUAAUUUUAUUUCCUCUAGCUAUUGUAUUAGGGUUCUUUAGAAAAAAAAGAACCAAGAGACUACAUAUUAAUGUGAGAGGGGAUUUAUUAGUUUGGUCCAUAGGAUCACAGAGGUUGAAAAAUUCUACAAUGGUUAUAUGCAUGAUGGUGAGCUAAGGAAGUCAGUAGUACCUCAGUCCAUGGAAGUGGAAGCCAUAGAACCAGAAAAAGACCAAUGCUGCAGCACUUAGUCCAGAUCCCAAGGCACAAGCGGCCCCAUGGAGGGCUGCUGAUACAAACCUGAGUCAGAAAUUCCAAAGAAUUUCAAUCUGAUGCCCAAGGGUGGCAGUUGUAUAAAAAAGUACACACUUAAAAGGGAAGACCAAGAAAGCAAGAAAAAGAAAUUGCCAGAUUGUUUUUUUGGUUUGUUAAAAAAAACUACUAGGGCUUUCACUGAGAUUAGUUUUUAGAGUUUAUUGCAGGGUCUCUCAACAUUGGCACUAUUUUGGGUCAGGUAACUCUGGUGUGUGUGUGUGUGUGUGUGUGUGUGUUUUGUAUGUGUAUGUUCUUUGCAUUGUAGGAUUUUUAUCAGCAUCCCUGACCUCCACCCAGUAGAUGCUAAUAGCAGCCCCUCAGUUACCACAGUCAGAAAUGUCUCCAUAUAUUGCUAAGUUUUUCUCUGCAAGAAAAAUUACCUCUGAUUUGGAACCACUAGUGUAUAGUACGAGUCUUUUACUUAUCACAGUCUACCUUUAAGUGCUCUUACACUAGUUCAUAUAUAAUAUAUGAAUCUUGCAACAUUUACUUCCAUUUCUCCCCUCCUUGUCUUUGUGAUGAAUUUGGGACAUCUUUUUGUGCCAGGAAAUCGUGUAGUCCUCAAAGAAGGAUGGGAACAUGUGAAAAGAACAUAAGAGGAGGCUACAUUAGCAGAUUCUGAAAUGACACGUGCCUCAAAAUAAGUAAUGAUAUGAAUGGAUUAGGAUUCAGUGAACAAGAUAAAGAUAUAAGAAAAUGAAUAAAUAAAUAAUCAAAUGGGAGUAAGGGGAAGUUCUUUCUUAGAAUAGAGUACCAACUAGUAAAUGUGGAAGGAAUGAUGGAAUUAGAAUGUUGCUAUCUGAUAACCACUUUAGGGAUAAGUAAUUUAGGAAAGAUUCAUCAAUGGUCAAGUUAAAAUCACCACUGAGAGAACAAACUGAUUUGUGCCUCCUGAUACAAAUUACUAAGAAGAAUAGAUCAUUUCAGUGGCAUUUUUGCCAAUGAAACAUAAUCUGCAUCUAAUCACCAUAAAGUAUGAAGAAAUUCAAAGUGAAAGACAUUUUUUUGAAACAACUGGCCCACAGUCUUGAAAACAUUAAGGUCACAAAAGACAUAGGAGUUAUUUUAGAUCAAAGAAGACUGACAGGCCGAUUAAAAGACAUGGAGUAGCUAAAUGAAUUUAAAAACAAGACCCAAGAAUAGACUCUCUGCCAGAAACUCAGUUCAACAGUUUGUGGGAGACCUGUGACUGACCUCCAUUUUAUAUUAGCAGCCAUCUCAAGUAUUAGUUAAGUUUCUGUUUUCUGAGAUAAGUUUCUGUUUCUUCAUGCCCUGCCUAUUUCCCCGAGGUCACGUGCCCCUCCCUUAAGGUUGGGACUGCCCACUGUUGCCUACCUACUCCUGCCUUUGUCCGGUUGCUUGGUUACUCCCACUUCCGUAUUUCCCGUGCCCUAUAUAUGCACAGUACUUCCCGCCAAUAAACGAGACUUGAUCAGAAUCCUGUCUUGUCUCCAUUCUUCGUGUCUCUUGUCCCUCUCUCAUCCCCACUCCCCCUCUAGGGUCCUUGUUGACUUCACCCGCGGGACGGGAUAAGUGGCGCCCAACGUGGGGCUCGAGAACAGGGGAUUCAGUGAGGGACGCUGUUUCAUGAAGUCUGCGGCACAAAGAAAAGGAGGAAAAAAAAUAAAAAGAGGAUAAGAAAACGCGGGAGCCUGCUGCGUUGUGUUUUCUACACCUCGAUAAUGGGAUCAAGGAUCCAGAUCAUACUACUGGGACUAAUGAUGAUGCUACUGAUGACUUCAUACGGUGGUUUUGGACCCCGCCUAAUAGGGAAGUACUCCUGAAGCUCCAUGCUCAGGAACGCUGCUGCUUCUAUGCAAACAAGUCCGGCAUCGUCUGAGAUAAAAUUAAAAAAAAAAA
Long non-coding RNA from Chinchilla lanigera (long-tailed chinchilla), 3271 nucleotides. RefSeq lists it as uncharacterized. The transcript is spliced from 2 exons. The record is from RefSeq and is a predicted model, not a curated record. Lineage: Eukaryota; Metazoa; Chordata; Mammalia; Rodentia; Chinchillidae.